CCCAAACCCAUGAUUCUCC
Molecule: microRNA, 19 nt
Filed under: Gallus gallus (chicken)
Lineage: Eukaryota; Metazoa; Chordata; Aves; Galliformes; Phasianidae
Description: microRNA Ros-gga
Source: RNAcentral